Corvus hawaiiensis (hawaiian crow) is the source of this 719-nucleotide long non-coding RNA. RefSeq lists it as uncharacterized. Lineage: Eukaryota; Metazoa; Chordata; Aves; Passeriformes; Corvidae. The record is from RefSeq and is a predicted model, not a curated record. The transcript has 2 exons.
CGCCCGCCCCACCGCCCGCCGCUCGUCAGCACUCUGCAACUGAUCGCAGCGGCCACGGGGAGAGACGCUCCGCGAAGUCCCACCUCCUCAGUGAUGGCCCGGCCUUCCUCCCCGCUCUCCAAUCCCGUCGCGGAGUAGCUCCGCGGCUCGUGCAUUUCGAAUCCAGCUCCCUGCCCUGCCUUCCUGUCGCGCUUUCUGCGAUGCCGAUGGAUACAUGUUCGGGUCAAAAUUCACUUUGCCCGUGGGAAUUGUUCCAAAGUCCAGCAGAGCCAUUUGGGGAGAGGGGCGGCGGGGGACAAAUUGUAAUCGCAGCCAUCAUCUGACCACCCCCCAGGACUUGGCUUUUCAGAUACAGUGAUUUCUUAGCACGUAUGUGUUAAAGGGCUGAAGGAGCGUUAUCCUCAGCAAGCAGCAGAGGCAGUGAUAAGUGAGUGGAGGUAACGGGACAGGUCCUCAACCGUCAGCAGGAUUGUUUUAACAUCUACAGAGAGAUCAAGAAACUCAAAACAGCUCUUCCUGCCAAAACUAUAUGUAAUGUCAGCCUAAGGGCACAGUCAUCUUGACCCUGACUUUUGUUUCCCUGGCUAAUAGAUCUGGUAGGAAUACACACACACGGUUAUUGUGAUAGUACUUCACCUUACACUUACAUCACAUUCCCUGGAGAAGUAUCUGAUGGGGCAGCCUUGCUUAUUAAAUCAUUUCCUAGAGGGGAGAAUUCA